GUGAAAUACAGUCUCAUGAUAAAAUACUCAAGUAAGAUUUUCGCAGCAAGUUGUAGAAAUUGGUUGAUGUUCGCAGAAAGGUUGAACAUCUGCUUUCACAGAGGAAAUUUUAACCACGUGUUAAAUUUACCAAGGUCUUUGCGUCCUGUGGAUAAGUGCCCUUGCCGGCCGUGGACCCUCGGUUUGGAACCACUGCUCUAAGCAAUUUCUCGCAUCGAGUAUAUCUCAUCGUCAAGGAACUAUAUGGCAAUAAUUCGUCGCGUUCCCAUCCACUCCCUGGAGGAGCACCAAAAAGUGCCUCGUUUUGUCGGUGCCGCAAUUUGGUUAGGCAAAUGAGCGGCUGGUCCCCCAAGCGUAUGCACUUCUUUGCAUAGCGGCAAUACGAGAGUGAUUCCAUUUCAAGUUCCAGUUAACUUUGGUCGAAAUCGAACUGCCGGCUAGAAAUGAAGAAAUGAAUGAAUUCGAACGAAGCAGUUUCGCGCUUGGUUACUGGUGUCAACGUCAUCGCGUCAUCUUCCAGGUGCUAAUUCCGUUAUGUUCCAGUCAGGCAAGUGCUAAGCGAUUGAUCAUUUGUGAACAUGCUGGCUGCUGAGGUGAACUACACUUUGAGUAGUGAAAACACGUUUCACGUAAUUGUCGAGUGUAAUUCUUGGUCCUACUAUCCAUAGGUUAGGCAUCGCUUAAUUUUUAGUAAUCAACAGGAACUAUUUGAAUUUUACUUAGAAACGGAUAGCCAUAGUCAGAAGCCGGAACAGUGAUACACAGGAAUGAUGAAAUUUAGAUGAAGUGUGAAAAAUAUAUAUUAGCCUUAUUUGCUUUUCAGUCACAGCAGUCAAGCUGGAGCCUAUUAAUCUAGAAAAAUAUCAUUCAGCGUGAUUUGAUUUUCUAAGACGUUUAUCGGCGUUUUUUCUUGUCAGUUUAAUUUGCAUACAGCGUAACAUACGACGCGCGUUUGAUUGCCUGUAACUCUCUAGUGUCGCAUAUCAAUGAAUGUGGGUCUGCAUCGGCGUGACACUCUAGGCCAUAAAUAGAUGCGUUUUCGAUUGGCUAUGGAACUCCGGUAUGUUUGAAUUUACAUUUAUGCUAGAGCAAAUAUACUGUUGACAGAGCAAAUUUGUUUGAACUUGAGAGAUUUAUUGACAUGGAACGAACAUUAUGAAAAUGCUUCGACAUGCUUCUAACAAGCUACAAAUUUAUUGCUUCGUGUAUGUUGAGUUAUGGAAAUAACAAAAAAACAAUCCUAAAAAUGGGAUUGAUAUGUGUGGAUAGUAACCUUUAUGCACCUAAAGUUAAUCAAUCAACAUGAAUACAUGCAAUAAAUGAAAAAGUUAGUACGGUAACGCUUUGAUUUUUCAAGACCAUAAGUGAAUUUAAAAAUGUCUUUCAAAUUCAUACAAAGUUGCUGCAUUUUUUUGAACCAUCAUGUAAGGCUAGACUGCCGUAAACCGUAUGUAAGCGGACCGAAUUCGAAACAGCUGUAUAAUGAUUUUCGGGUUAUAUUUCUUCGCGGAUGCCUCCGUAGACUAUUUAUCCACAUGAUGUCACAAGGUCCGGCGGUAGAACAGGAUGUGACAGUUGCCAGCGGCCGUUGGUGGUCGCGGCUGGCAGCAAAAAAACCGGUUCCAUAUGUUUGCUGGUAUGUCCAUGUGGAAGCUGAGCUGAGGUUAUAGGAUUCGGGAAUUUUUUCGCGACUAGAACGUGUGAAUAACUUGACACAUAAUUAAUAUUUUUCGAACGCUUGGUGGCGGUUUGUAUUCACGACUUUAACCCUUUCAUGGUGACUCUAGAGCACCAAGAAUUGUAAUGACUAUA
Wyeomyia smithii (pitcher-plant mosquito) is the source of this 1812-nucleotide long non-coding RNA. RefSeq lists it as uncharacterized. The transcript has 3 exons. NCBI's taxonomy places the organism in Eukaryota, Metazoa, Arthropoda, Insecta, Diptera, Culicidae. The record is from RefSeq and is a predicted model, not a curated record.